RNAcentral lists this ribosomal RNA (435 nucleotides) under uncultured bacterium. RNAcentral's name for it is "partial 16S ribosomal RNA". It matches the Rfam family "Bacterial small subunit ribosomal RNA", at positions 29 to 507 of the family's 1533-position model. The record is from RNAcentral.
AGCGAACGCUGGCGGCAGGCUUAACACAUGCAAGUCGAGCGGGCACCUUCGGGUGUCAGCGGCAGACGGGUGAGUAACCCGUGGGAACGUACCCUUCGGUUCGGAAUAACGCUGGGAAACUAGCGCUAAUACCGGAUACGCCCUUAUGGGGAAAGGUUUACUGCCGAAGGAUCGGCCCGCGUCUGAUUGGCUAGUUGGUGGGGUAACGGCCUACCAAGGCGACGAUCAGUAGCUGGUCUGAGAGGAUGAUAAGCCACACUGGGACUGAGACACGGCCCAGACUCCUACGGAGGGCAGCAGUGGGGAAUAUUGGACAAUGGGCGCAAGCCUGAUCCAGCCAUGCCGGGUGAGUGAUGAAGGCCUUAGGGUUGUAAAGCUCUUUUGUCCGGGACGAUAAUGACGGUACCGGAAGAAUAAGCCCCGGCUAACUUCGUG